Non-coding RNA from Paramuricea clavata, 360 nucleotides. NCBI's taxonomy places the organism in Eukaryota, Metazoa, Cnidaria, Anthozoa, Malacalcyonacea, Plexauridae. The record is from the annotation of a GenBank genome assembly.
GCCAUUUGGGAUACUUGAUAAUACUGUAGUUUUAAAAGUUGUGUUAUAAACAAACUAUCAAAACAACCGGUCUUUUGAUCAUCUCAGCCAGACUUUGUUCGAGAAUGUGCCUUGUUCGAGAAUGUGCCGAUCCUUUCUAAUUGCAUAACCAAUAUUUUUAAUCUUUCAUUCUGUAUAUUUUAAUCUUUUCUUUUCAUUGGGUAUAUUUUGUCUUCUAAUCUUUUAUUUUUUAAAGAUGCUGCAAAGUCCGUUCUGCGCAUCACGGCAUCAGUUCUGCUCCGUAACAAAGAGGGACCCGCAUUGCCCAAAUUUUGCAUCUUUCGUCUUUCGAAUUUCUUUGAAUUGCCUGGAUCAGUGGCG